RNAcentral lists this long non-coding RNA (674 nucleotides) under Sus scrofa (pig). RNAcentral describes it as "lncRNA (ENSSSCG00015024823.1)". The record is from RNAcentral. Lineage: Eukaryota; Metazoa; Chordata; Mammalia; Artiodactyla; Suidae.
GUCGUCUCUUCCCACUGGCCAAAGCCAACCGGAAGUCUUCCAGUUAGUGAAGAUGUUCACGCAGCUCAGCCGCUCCAGACGCAGAGCAUGGUGGGAAGGUGCGGAAGAGCCGCUCUGGAGGGGCACAGGGAAAGCCAGUGGCCCGCUAGGUCAAACCAUUUUACCAUAUGAAACCCCUAUCAGAAGCUGAUAGAGAAAAAGCAAGUAAACAGAAGAUUCCAAAAUUCAUGGAAUUAUUGAAACUUGCACAGAGGGAAAAAAAAUUGGUGAUAUUUGAUCUUAAUGUUCCUCCACGACAGCAUCCUGCCAGAUCUGCAUAUAUCCAAAUUGCAGUGAGAGAGAUCCUUGACUCGCAAAUUGAGCAACACCUGAUUAUUUGGUUACCAGGUUCUCAAAGGGAGUAUGUCAGGAGCAGAGCUCCUGGUUUUCAGCACAUUGGCCGAUUAUUCACCAUUGAACAACUUACAAAACAAAAUAUCACUAGAAUAAAUGUUGACUACAAGAGGUUAUUCUACAAUGGGUUGAGAGAAUAUAAAGCAGCUAACAUCAACAUCAACUUGUAUGUCAUCAACGAACCUUGGCUCUUCUCACUGGCCUGGUGCUCCAGGAUUCAGUCAGUGACCACAGACAACAUUCAGGUCCUGAAUAAGAUCAAUCACCCUUACUACUUCAUG